Molecule: transfer RNA, 74 nt
Filed under: Gammaproteobacteria bacterium
Lineage: Bacteria; Pseudomonadati; Pseudomonadota; Gammaproteobacteria
Also listed under: 1 other name
Description: tRNA-Arg
Rfam family: tRNA
About the family: Transfer RNA (tRNA) molecules are approximately 80 nucleotides in length. Their secondary structure includes four short double-helical elements and three loops (D, anti-codon, and T loops).
Source: RNAcentral
GCGCCCGUAGCUCAAUUGGAUAGAGCGUCUGGCUACGAACCAGGAGGUUGUAGGUUCAAAUCCUUCCGGGCGUA